RNAcentral lists this ribosomal RNA (253 nucleotides) under uncultured bacterium. Its description in RNAcentral is "partial 16S ribosomal RNA". It matches the Rfam family "Bacterial small subunit ribosomal RNA", at positions 524 to 776 of the family's 1533-position model. The record is from RNAcentral.
UACGUAGGGGGCAAGCGUUGUCCGGAAUCAUUGGGCGUAAAGCGCGUGUAGGCGGUCCGGUAAGUCCGCUGUGAAAGUCGGGGGCUCAACCCUCGGAUGCCGGUGGAUACUGUCGGGCUUGAGUACGGAAGAGGCGAGUGGAAUUCCUGGUGUAGCGGUGAAAUGCGCAGAUAUCAGGAGGAACACCAAUUGCGAAGGCAGCUCACUGGGACGUUACUGACGCUGAGACGCGAAAGCGUGGGGAGCGAACGGG